This is a long non-coding RNA of Cannabis sativa, 961 nucleotides long. RefSeq lists it as uncharacterized. The record is from RefSeq and is a predicted model, not a curated record. The transcript is spliced from 2 exons. Lineage: Eukaryota; Viridiplantae; Streptophyta; Magnoliopsida; Rosales; Cannabaceae.
UUCAAAUCAACAAAUAUUGUAUAUUAUCAUUAAUUAAUGUUAUCUAAACAAAAGAGUUGAAAUGGCCGAGUUGGUCUAAGGCGCCAGAUUAAGGUUCUGGUCCGAAAGGGCGUGGGUUCAAAUCCCACUUUCAACAUUAUUUUUAUAACUUUUAUUUAAAAGAGAAAAAGACCAAAAUACCCUCUUUCCCUUUUUCUCUAUUAUCAAAACCACUCAAUUUGGUGCCCUAGCUAACCCUAGCUCUUCACUACUAUAUAUAUAGCUAUUUCAACCCAAAACCCUAAUAUCAAAACUGAAUCCAAAGCUUAAACCUUUCAUUCUUGCUCUUUUCUUAUAUGUGUUUUUUCCCCCUUUUUCUUGGUAUUGGACUCUUAAUUGAAAGCUAAAUUAGAGUGAUAAAUCCAACCAAGGUUUCAAAUGACUAAGCGAAAGGUACAAAGUGAGGAGCAUGUCUAUUAGACAGUCUUUUAAUUUCUUAAAGAAACAAUACCAUUAGUGCCUAAUAGCAAUAGUUUUGUGUUAAAAUCUCUCGCCCUUCAUUCGUAUCAUUGCUAAUUUUGAUUUAGAUGUAGCCGAGGCAGAGCGGAGGCGAUUGAGCAAGGCUUGCUCAUUUCUCUUAAUAUAAGGAAGUGACUGUUGAAAAUUUGAUCUUGCAAUCUAUCAGGGCAGAGGAAGUCCAUCCAAGACAUGUUGUUAUUUUAUUGUUUUUGUAAUUAGUUUGUCAUUUGUUAUGUUGUACUUAAACAAAAUCUCAUAUUUUAGCUUAAGAUGCAGUUUGGAUUUGCAGCUCUGUGCCAUGGCUGACUUUUCGGGCUCCUUAUGUAGGCGGGAUGUGUGGCGCUUUCUGGCACUUGUAGCAAGAAUAUUCCUAAACCGGGUUUGGUUUGGUGGAAUGUAAUUAUAAUACGAAUAGUAAUAGAAUGGAAUGAUGAAUAUUGGAAUGGAUGAUAAAUUAAUAAAA